GGGUCAGUAGGUUGGUCGUGCCACCGGUACGUACUGGUCUCACUGAUUCCUCCUUCCUGAAGAACCGUAAUGCCAUUAAUUUGGUGUUGCGGGGAAACAGGACUGUUACUUUGAAAAAAUUAGAGUGUUUAAAGCAAGCUAACGCGUGAAUACAUUAGCAUGGAAUAAUGAAAUAGGACGAUCGAUCCUAUUUUGUUGGUUUCUAGGAUUGACGUA
This 216-nucleotide ribosomal RNA is filed under the name Glomeromycotina sp. RNAcentral's name for it is "partial small subunit ribosomal RNA". The stretch from base 40 to 216 matches the Rfam family "Eukaryotic small subunit ribosomal RNA", at positions 686 to 864 of the family's 1831-position model. Lineage: Eukaryota; Fungi; Glomeromycota. The record is from RNAcentral.